Molecule: ribosomal RNA, 1491 nt
Filed under: metagenome
Description: bacterial SSU rRNA
Rfam family: Bacterial small subunit ribosomal RNA
Source: RNAcentral
AGAGUUUGAUCCUGGCUCAGAUUGAACGCUGGCGGCAUGCCUUACACAUGCAAGUCGAACGGCAGCACGAGAGCUUGCUCUUGGUGGCGAGUGGCGAACGGGUGAGUAAUAUAUCGGAACGUACCCUAGAGUGGGGGAUAACGUAGCGAAAGUUACGCUAAUACCGCAUACGAUCUACGGAUGAAAGUGGGGGAUCGCAAGACCUCAUGCUCAUGGAGCGGCCGAUAUCUGAUUAGCUAGUUGGUGGGGUAAAAGCUCACCAAGGCGACGAUCAGUAGCUGGUCUGAGAGGACGACCAGCCACACUGGAACUGAGACACGGUCCAGACUCCUACGGGAGGCAGCAGUGGGGAAUUUUGGACAAUGGGCGCAAGCCUGAUCCAGCAAUGCCGCGUGAGUGAAGAAGGCCUUCGGGUUGUAAAGCUCUUUUGUCAGGGAAGAAACGGUGGACUCUAAUACAGAUCACUAAUGACGGUGCCUGAAGAAUAAGCACCGGCUAACUACGUGCCAGCAGCCGCGGUAAUACGUAGGGUGCAAGCGUUAAUCGGAAUUACUGGGCGUAAAGCGUGCGCAGGCGGUUGUGCAAGACAGAUGUGAAAUCCCCGGGCUCAACCUGGGAAUUGCAUUUGUGACUGCACGGCUAGAGUGUGUCAGAGGGGGGUAGAAUUCCACGUGUAGCAGUGAAAUGCGUAGAGAUGUGGAGGAAUACCGAUGGCGAAGGCAGCCCCCUGGGAUAACACUGACGCUCAUGCACGAAAGCGUGGGGAGCAAACAGGAUUGGAUACCCUGGUAGUCCACGCCCUAAACGAUGUCUACUAGUUGUCGGGUCUUAAUUGACUUGGUAACGCAGCUAACGCGUGAAGUAGACCGCCUGGGGAGUACGGUCGCAAGAUUAAAACUCAAAGGAAUUGACGGGGACCCGCACAAGCGGUGGAUGAUGUGGAUUAAUUCGAUGCAACGCGAAAAACCUUACCUACCCUUGACAUGUCUGGAAUCCUUGAGAGAUCAGGGAGUGCUCGAAAGAGAAUCAGAACACAGGUGCUGCAUGGCUGUCGUCAGCUCGUGUCGUGAGAUGUUGGGUUAAGUCCCGCAACGAGCGCAACCCUUGUCAUUAGUUGCUACGAAAGGGCACUCUAAUGAGACUGCCGGUGACAAACCGGAGGAAGGUGGGGAUGACGUCAAGUCCUCAUGGCCCUUAUGGGUAGGGCUUCACACGUCAUACAAUGGUACAUACAGAGGGCCGCCAACCCGCGAGGGGGAGCUAAUCCCAGAAAGUGUAUCGUAGUCCGGAUUGUAGUCUGCAACUCGACUACAUGAAGUUGGAAUCGCUAGUAAUCGCGGAUCAGCAUGUCGCGGUGAAUACGUUCCCGGGUCUUGUACACACCGCCCGUCACACCAUGGGAGCGGGUUUCACCAGAAGUGGGUAGCCUAACCGCAAGGAGGGCGCUCACCACGGUGGGAUUCGUGACUGGGGUGAAGUCGUAACAAGGUA